RNAcentral lists this non-coding RNA (27 nucleotides) under Cricetulus griseus (Chinese hamster). Lineage: Eukaryota; Metazoa; Chordata; Mammalia; Rodentia; Cricetidae. The record is from RNAcentral.
GAGGGAGAGGGGAGGAGAAAGGACUUU